AGUCUCAUGGUAUUUUUUACACACUCUAAAGUAACAGAAUGUAUUUGUGCAUAACGCAUAUAAUAACAACUUUCAACAACGGAUCUCUUGGCUCUCGCACCGAUGAAGAACGCAGCGAAAUGCGAUAAGUAAUGUGAAUUGCAGAAUUCAGUGAAUCAUCGAAUCUUUGAACGCACCUUGCACUCUUUGGUAUUCCGAAGAGUACGCCCGUUUGAGUGUCAUUGUAAUCUCACCUCUACAGCUUUGUUGUUGUGGAAAGUGGACUUGGGCCUUGUUGUGUAACAACGACUGGCUUGAAAUGGAUGAGUGUACCCUGCUGCUGCAGCGUCUUCAGUGUGAUAAGCAUCUUCACUGAUCAAAGUUCCUUUGGGACACGAAUGCAAAGUGGGCUCUGCGCUUCCAACCGUCUGUUGACAGACAAUACUUGACAAUUUGGCCUCAAAUCGGGUGGGACUACCCGCUGAACUUAAGCAUAUCAAUAAGCGGAGGA
Molecule: ribosomal RNA, 490 nt
Filed under: uncultured Sebacinales
Lineage: Eukaryota; Fungi; Basidiomycota; Agaricomycetes; Sebacinales
Description: eukaryotic LSU rRNA
Rfam family: 5.8S ribosomal RNA (bases 68-221)
Source: RNAcentral